This 253-nucleotide ribosomal RNA is filed under the name uncultured bacterium. Its description in RNAcentral is "partial 16S ribosomal RNA". It matches the Rfam family "Bacterial small subunit ribosomal RNA", at positions 524 to 776 of the family's 1533-position model. The record is from RNAcentral.
UACGGGGGGGGCAAGCGUUGUUCGGAAUUACUGGGCGUAAAGCGCGCGUAGGCGGUUACUUAAGUCGGAUGUGAAAGCCCUCGGCUUAACUGAGGAAGUGCACCCGAAACUGAGUAGCUAGAGUACGAAAGAGGGUCGCGGAAUUCCAGGUGUAGAGGUGAAAUUCGUAGAUAUCGGGAGGAACACCGGUGGCGAAGGCGGCGACCUGGGUCGAGACUGACGCUGAGGCGCGAAAGCGUGGGGAGCAAACAGG